UUUUGGAUGUCUGAAUGAAAUGUUAGUUAAAGGUUAUGACAGUUAGGAAUUGGAUUAGUUAGGGUAGUUAUGAACUGAAACAGAGUUAAUUACCUGGUUUUUCUGUUUGAAAAAUGUUAUGGUAGUUUAGAAAAGGUUAAAAAAAGGUCAAUGUAUGGUGUCAGCAGAGUGUAUGGAUGUGAACUGUUUGAAUGCUGCAGGUUCUUUGAAUGUAUGCACAUGACUUCAAGGUGAUGAUAUGAGAUGAUGAUAUUGUUUUGAUGAGUGAUUUAUGACAUGGACUGAAUGUAUGUGGACUGAAGACUCAUGUGAAUGAUUGGCUUUAAAACUAGCAGCAUAAUUGGUUCUGUUUUGAAUUAAUAGUGCUGUAUGGAUGUAGAUAUAUGGGGCUGUUUUAUACAUUGCAGAAUUUUCCUCUUCUCUUCUUUGUGGCUGAAUGUGUGCAGGUUAUGGCUAUGUUAUCAAAUGAGGUAAUGCUGGCUGGCAUGUUAGUAAUGUGUAAUUUCAAUGCAGCAGGGCCGUUUGGCUUGAAUUGAGGCAUGGAUCAAAUGAAGGCGGUAUGGAGCACGGUCAUGAGCUAAAAAUGCUUUGAAGAUUAGCUUAGGAAUAGAAUUCUAGGAAUGAGAUUCCAUGUAUUUUCUGUGUAAAAUAACGGACUUUGUAAUGGGUAUUUGGUUCCUUUGAAAUCGGUGAUGAUUUGAGUUAUGGAAAGUUGAAUGUGAUUUGAUGAAUGGUGAAACUUUAAAUGAAUUUUGUAAUGGUUUUUUUGUAAUUGAUUGGAUUUAUUUUGUUCUUGUUUGUA
Long non-coding RNA from Vicia villosa (hairy vetch), 802 nucleotides. RefSeq lists it as uncharacterized. NCBI's taxonomy places the organism in Eukaryota, Viridiplantae, Streptophyta, Magnoliopsida, Fabales, Fabaceae. The record is from RefSeq and is a predicted model, not a curated record. The transcript is spliced from 2 exons.